GUAGUUAGCCGGGGCUUCCUCCUUGGCUACCGUCACUUUCUUCGUCACCAAGGACAGAGGUUUACAACCCGAAAGCCUUCUUCCCUCACGCGGCGUUGCUGGGUCAGGCUUGCGCCCAUUGCCCAAUAUUCCCCACUGCUGCCUCCCGUAGGAGUCUGGACCGUGUCUCAGUUCCAGUGUGGCCGAUCAGCCUCUCAGCUCGGCUACCCAUCGUCGACUUGGUGGGCCGUUACCCCGCCAACUAUCUAAUGGGACGCGAGCCCCUCCUUCUGCGGAUUGCUCCUUUGACCUCUCUCCGAUGCCGGAGCGUGGUCUUAUGCGGUAUUAGCACUUGUUUCCAGGUGUUAUCCCCCUCAAAAGGUCAGGUUGCUCACGCGUUACUCACCCGUUCGCCACUAGGUAUCAACCGAAAUCAAUACCCCGUUCGACUUGCAUGUGUUAGGCACGCCGCCAGCGUUCGUCCUGAGCCAUAAUCAAACUCUGA
This 484-nucleotide ribosomal RNA is filed under the name uncultured bacterium. RNAcentral's name for it is "partial 16S ribosomal RNA". The record is from RNAcentral.